Molecule: long non-coding RNA, 2092 nt
Organism: Panthera uncia (snow leopard)
Lineage: Eukaryota; Metazoa; Chordata; Mammalia; Carnivora; Felidae
Exons: 3
Source: RefSeq, a predicted model, not a curated record
AGGUAGCUCUCAGGAGUGGGGUUGCAAGGAGUCUCAUAAGGGGCUGUGGAGGGAAAUGGUAUGAAUAUUAAAAGUAAGUUCACGUCCUACACAAAGGGUAUCCUUACCUCACCUCUCUGCAGUGCCUUAUGGUUUUCAAACCAUAUGGUUUGGCUUGCAUAUCCAUGCUCCCGAUUCUCCUGAAUUUUUCUGAGGGAGAUGGAAUAGCUAUUAUUUUUUUCAAUGUUUAUUUUUGAGAGAGAGAGAAAGACAGAGCGUGAGCAGGGGAGGGGCAGAGAGGGAGACACGGAAUCCAAAGCAGGCUCCAGGCUCUGAGCUGUCAGCACAGAGCCUGAUGAAGGGCUAAAAUUCAGGGACCACGAGAUCAUGACCUGAGCUGAAGUUGGACGCUUAACAGACUGAGCAACCCAACCACUCUGGAAUCGCUAUUAUAAUCCCAUUUUAUACAUGGGGAAACAGAGCUGGUUGCUGAGACCAUCAGAGUCAUGGUUCUCAAUAAGGGGUCUUGAAAAUUUGUGGAUUGUUUUGAGUUACGACUAAAAUUGGGAGUGCUACUGGCAUUUAGUCAGGGGUGGGGAGCAUUGUUGCUCUGUGUCCUGUAAUGCUUGGCACUGUUCUGCAUUAAGAAUUUUUCUGGCACCUGGGUGGCUCAGUUGGUUAAGCCUCUGACUUCAGCUCAAGUCAUGAUCUCCCGGUUCAUGAGUUCGAGCCCUGUGUUGGACUCUGUGCUGACAGCUCAGAGCCUGGAACUGCUUCAGAUUUCUGUGUCUACCUCUCUCUCUGCCCCUCCCCCGCUCGUUCUCACUCUUUCUCUUUUUCUCUCAAAAAUAAAUAAAAACAUUUAAAAAAAAAAAAAGAAUUUUUCUGCAUCCUGCAUGAGGUUCACAUAUCCCAGCAGACAUUCAUGUAGGUAGAAAGCCUGUUUAAAAUGAUCAGAGCCUACAAUUUUGUAUGUGGCUUUAACUAUAUGUUGAAUUUUUAAAAACUGUAACUGCCAUAUAAAUCAAGCUAAGAUUAUAUACCUUGUUUAGCUUGGAACAAUACCAAGAACUUUUCCUUGGUUCAGAAAAGCCAUGUACCUGCAGCGACAUUAGCCAAGGAAUGUGAAGCACCAAAAUGAUACCUCUGGAUCCGUCAGGAUUUGUAGCUGUCACAUUCAUGGUGACUGGAUUGAAGUGCAAGUGUCUGACCACUUGAAAUGGAUCAUUGGAUGCUGCUAAGCAGCCAGCGGGCCAGGACUCCUAUGUUACGAUCUAGACCUGUCCUUUUUGGCAGAAUGGAGCCUUAUUUUCCUCAUCUGUAAAAUGGAGAUAUUAGUUCCCAUCUCGGAGAGUGAUGGUCCAGCUGGCAUGAGAAUUUCAUGAGAUGACUGAAUGUUAAUCAUCUUCACAAACAGAAGCCGUCAGGGUGGAAAGAGCAAGGUGGGAGGUAGGUACACACAAGUUUCGGCAAGAUGCGGAGACAGCCUUUGUUCCCACACGGGUACUCACAAAGGCUGCAGUGCAUGCAGCUUUACAAGGGGGCUUUGAGCAUUUUUUGCCUUACUUGAGUAUGUGGUUAGAAAUCAGGAGAGGAAGGGGAGAUGGGAGAGAACACACAGGGCAGUGCUGGGAGCCCUGAUGCUUAGAUGCACCAGGCAAAUUCCCUCUACCUGCCCCUUCAAGAACUCAGUGUCAGGGUGCCUGGGUGGCUUAGUGGGUUAAGCGUCUGACUUUGGCCCAGGUCAUGAUCUCACAGUUCAUGAGUCUGAGCCCUGCGUUGGCUCUGUGAUGACAGCUCAGAGCCUGGAGCCUGCUUUGGAUUCUCUCUCUGCCACUCUCCUGCUUGCGCUCUGUCUCUCCCUCUCUCUCUCAAAACUAAAUAAACAGUAAUAGGGGCGCCUGGGUGGCUCAGUCGGUUAAGCGUCCGACUUCAGUUCAGGUCAUGAUCUCACAGUUCGUGAGUUCGAGCCCCGCGUCGGGCUCUGUGCUGACAGCUUGGAGCCUGGAGCCUGCUUCACAUUCUGUGUCUCCCUCUCUCUCUGCCCCUUCCCAGCUCAUGCUCUGUCUCUCUCUGUCUCAAAAAUAAAUAAACAUUAAAAAAAAAAAUUAAA